Sphaerodactylus townsendi is the source of this 1179-nucleotide long non-coding RNA. RefSeq lists it as uncharacterized. The record is from RefSeq and is a predicted model, not a curated record. The transcript has 3 exons. Lineage: Eukaryota; Metazoa; Chordata; Lepidosauria; Squamata; Sphaerodactylidae.
GAGCCCUGCUCUAUCACUGUUUUAAUGAGAAAGAACUUCAGGUACUUCCUGACGUCAGGCUGCUGGGCAGCAUGCAGUGAAACAAACCUGUGGAGGAGGGUAGAAAAGUAGAACUUUCAUUAAGCUGUGUGAUAAAAGGUUAACAAGAGACAAUGCCUGAUGCAAGAUCACCCAGCUACCAUGACUUCUCUGGUCUGCAGAGUGCAGAACCUCUCUGGUCUGCCAGAUCCUAGUCUGAUAUUUUCACUACUGCACUACUGCACAACACUAACUUCCAUACUUUCAAGGGGAUGUGCAGGUUUGCAGUUGAUGCAGAUGACUUGAAACAUUGUAUGUCAAAUAUGUCAGUGUUACAGAAUAAAGUAAUUUUUUUCUAUUACUGCUGUAUCAUUAGCAAUGCAUAGUCAAAUUAUUCUUCCUAUUUGUACCGCUUAUCCCUGACCAAACACAUCACCCUUGGGUUGUGCAGUGACAGCCCAUUGUCAACCUUCAUCACAACAGCACAGCAGCAUUGUUGCACCAGAAAAAGACCACAGACUUCCUCAUUAAACCUUAUCUCUCCUCUCCUCCAUCAUCUCAAGAUCCCAAAAAAUAAUAGAAAUACAACUACAAAAUUGCCCUGUUUCAAGAGAAGACUGUGUAGUAUAUCUAGAGAGAUUCCAUCCUGAAUGUUAAAAGACCGAACAAAAAUAAUUUUUCUUUUCUCACCAUUCCACAUAGCCCAAACUGCAGGUUGUUGGUGUUUGGAGAGUGGUGUGCCUUACUCCAAGGUUAUCAGUCCAAUUAGCUGGUCUGAGAUCACCCUCAUUAUUUUCUUCCAGAUGCAACUGGUAUUUUAAUUGGAUAGAUUCCAGUUUUGGAGGGAGGGGGAAAGAGCUUGUUUCCAGGAUGUUCGGACCAACACAUAACCUGAUUGGUUAAUGGUGGUCAUCUGAUGUAGCUAGCUAGGGAAUAAAUUAGUUACUCAGUGUUACCAAUUAUUCCUUCUUUGUCCUUUCUUUGUCUGUGUUGAUGAUCAAACUGUAAUUUUGCUUAAUGAACUCUGCACAUGUACUGAGGACUUCUAUAGUAACUUUUCAGCAAGUAUUAUUUCUAGUAAGUUAUAUUCUGUGUUGUUUUAUUGAGUACUUGAAAUGUACCUUGUUAUUUAGAGUUCACUGUAUGCCUUUUAAUUUUCUG